GCCAUACUACGACCCAACGCCCUGUAAAGUAAACGAUGACCCAUACUGAACUUCGCGUUAAAAUACGUAUCAAAUUGAAAAAUUGCUGCUGACCUGGAACUUUGUUUCCGGGUCAGUUUUCUU
RNAcentral lists this small RNA (123 nucleotides) under Leclercia adecarboxylata. Its description in RNAcentral is "Enterobacteria greA leader". It matches the Rfam family "Enterobacteria greA leader". Lineage: Bacteria; Pseudomonadati; Pseudomonadota; Gammaproteobacteria; Enterobacterales; Enterobacteriaceae. The record is from RNAcentral.